CAACGGUGGAGCCUGCGGUUUAAUUGGACUCAACGCCGGGCAGCUCACCGGAUAAGACAGCUGGAUGAUAGCCGGGCUGAAGACUCUGCUUGACUAGCUGAGAGGAGGUGCAUGGCCGUCGUCAGUUCGUACUGUGAAGCAUCCUGUUAAGUCAGGCAACGAGCGAGACCCACGCCAACAGUUGCCAGCAUGUCCUCCGGGAUGAUGGGGACACUGUUGGGACCGCCUCUGCUAAAGAGGAGGAAGGAAUGGGGCAACGGUAGGUCAGCAUGCCCCGAAUUAUCCGGGCUACACGCGGGCUACAAUGGUCAGGACAAUGGGUAUCGACACCGAGAGGUGGAGGCAAUCUCCUAAACCUGUCCUUAGUUCGGAUUGUGGGCUGCAACUCGCCCACAUGAAGCUGGAAUCUGUAGUAAUCGUGUCUCAAAAUGGCACGGUGAAUAUGUCCCUGCUCCUU
RNAcentral lists this ribosomal RNA (457 nucleotides) under uncultured Methanolinea sp. Its description in RNAcentral is "bacterial SSU rRNA". It matches the Rfam family "Archaeal small subunit ribosomal RNA", at positions 882 to 1338 of the family's 1478-position model. The record is from RNAcentral. Lineage: Archaea; Methanobacteriati; Methanobacteriota; Methanomicrobia; Methanomicrobiales; Methanoregulaceae.